Long non-coding RNA from Branchiostoma floridae (Florida lancelet), 419 nucleotides. RefSeq lists it as uncharacterized. The transcript has 2 exons. The record is from RefSeq and is a predicted model, not a curated record. Lineage: Eukaryota; Metazoa; Chordata; Leptocardii; Amphioxiformes; Branchiostomatidae.
CCCAGGCAGUUGGUCAAACCAUUCGAUGCCUUCACAUCGAAGCUCUGCGUACGCCCUGACCGUGCCUUCCUCAGACGCGGCAUGAAGAUAUCACAGGCAUCAAAAAGACGAGACUGAAGACAGAUUUAACAGUAAGAAGAUCAUAUACAACUUGCUGAAACCUGAUGUUCGAUUCCAUGAAGUGGAUCCAGAGAUGAACACCACCCAUGUAGAGCCAUCAAGCCAGAUCUACCAACCACGCCGAUGUUCCUGGUGGGAAUGAUCCAGAUGAGGCGACCCAAUGCAAUGCCAAGUGCUCCGAACUCCAUGCAUAUGGCCUUCAAGUUGUUCGUGCACGUGUCUACGCCCUGCCAAGGACCUGAUUGACGUAAAUUUCCGUCAUUUUAAGUAUUUUAACUGUCUAAAUGGAAUUGAAGCUG